AUAUGACACGGCUGCUUCAGCGCUAAGGAGUGUGGGAAUUGUAGGCAUCUCAGCGACCAUGUGACCUCUGAGAUCCAAUCGCGAUGCACCCGCCUCCCCAACAGGCUAUAUAUAGCAUGAUAUGAUCAUUAUCUGUCUGCUACCAACAGGGUACUGACAGAUGUCUUUAUUCCUCUUAAAGAUAGGAGAUUAUCUGUGGACUUUUCAGCUGCAAUUGACUGGUCCUUGAUUUUUGCUGCAAACGACUAUCCUUUGACUUUCUAUCACCAGCUGAUGUUUGCUUGCACUCAGACUGUUCAUCUAGUUAAAUACUCCAUAUGAAUUGAGGCUCUUCAGUGCCCAUGUUAUUGUCUUACUUAAUUCCCCUGUAUUCACCUUGAUUUUAUUACGCUUCAAGUCCUGUCAGUUGAACUUGGAUUUCAAUAUCCACCCUGAGGGGGUUUUUCCUUGACUGGCUGUGCAUGAAGCUAGGAGUAAUCUAGAGAGACGAUCUUGUCCU
Long non-coding RNA from Rana temporaria (common frog), 499 nucleotides. RefSeq lists it as uncharacterized. The record is from RefSeq and is a predicted model, not a curated record. Lineage: Eukaryota; Metazoa; Chordata; Amphibia; Anura; Ranidae. The transcript has 5 exons.